UGGGGAAUUUUGCGCAAUGGGGGAAACCCUGACGCAGCAACGCCGCGUGAGUGAUGAAGGCCUUCGGGUCGUAAAGCUCUGUCAGAGGGGAAGAAAUGCAGGGGCGCUAAUAUCGCUUUUGCUUGACGGUACCCUCAAAGGAAGCACCGGCUAACUCCGUGCCAGCAGCCGCGGUAAUACGGAGGGUGCGAGCGUUGUUCGGAAUUAUUGGGCGUAAAGCGCGUGUAGGCGGUUUUCUAAGUCUGAUGUGAAAGCCCCGGGCUCAACCUGGGAAGUGCAUUGGAAACUGGGGAACUUGAAUACGGGAGAGGGCAGUGGAAUUCCUAGUGUAGGAGUGAAAUCCGUAGAUAUUAGGAGGAACACCGGUGGCGAAGGCGGCUGCCUGGACCGAUAUUGACGCUGAGACGCGAAAGCGUGGGGAGCAAACAGGAUUAGAUACCCUGGUAGUCCACGCCGUAAACGAUGAGUACUAGGUGUUGCGGGUAUUGACCCCUGCAGUGCCGC
This 504-nucleotide ribosomal RNA is filed under the name uncultured Pseudomonadota bacterium. RNAcentral's name for it is "bacterial SSU rRNA". It matches the Rfam family "Bacterial small subunit ribosomal RNA", at positions 355 to 849 of the family's 1533-position model. The record is from RNAcentral. Lineage: Bacteria; Pseudomonadati; Pseudomonadota.